AAACCGGGAGAUAGCUGGUUCUCCCCGAAAGCUAUUUAGGUAGCGCCUCGUGAAUUCAUCUCCGGGGGUAGAGCACUGUUUCGGCUAGGGGGCCAUCCCGGCUUACCAACCCGAUGCAAACUGCGAAUACCGGAGAAUGUUAUCACGGGAGACACACGGCGGGUGCUAACGUCCGUCGUGAAGAGGGAAACAACCCAGACCGCCAGCUAAGGUCCCAAAGUCAUGGUUAAGUGGGAAACGAUGUGGGAAGGCCCAGACAGCCAGGAUGUUGGCUUAGAAGCAGCCAUCAUUUAAAGAAAGCGUAAUAGCUCACUGGUCGAGUCGGCCUGCGCGGAAGAUGUAACGGGGCUAAACCAU
Molecule: ribosomal RNA, 357 nt
Filed under: Salmonella enterica
Lineage: Bacteria; Pseudomonadati; Pseudomonadota; Gammaproteobacteria; Enterobacterales; Enterobacteriaceae
Also listed under: 1 other name
Description: partial 23S ribosomal RNA
Rfam family: Bacterial large subunit ribosomal RNA
Source: RNAcentral